RNAcentral lists this ribosomal RNA (363 nucleotides) under Triticum aestivum (bread wheat). Its description in RNAcentral is "partial small subunit ribosomal RNA". Lineage: Eukaryota; Viridiplantae; Streptophyta; Magnoliopsida; Poales; Poaceae. The record is from RNAcentral.
AUGAAGGGGUACUUGGUAGUUGUUGUAGGGUGGCCUUCGGUGGACUUGGUGGAAACCACGACGUGUGCAGGAGGCAUACGACUCCAAAACGCCCACGGCCAUGCGGAAGACCACGGAGCUCCUGUUAUGGGGAGUGUCCGUGGCGACGGCAGGACGCGAAGGAGGGCGGCAGCUGGGCUGCGGCUGCGAUUCCUACAAGCACGAAGCAGGGGAGGCGAGCGAGCGGUCUGUCUCGUCAACUCCUGUCGAACAGGAGCAGCGGCGGCUGCAACAGAAGCUUGGUGCGCGGCCAGAGCUUGGCGUCAGCGAGGGACGGCGAGGAAGGCGCGAGGCUGGACCGGCCGGAGCUCGAUGUGUUGCUGA